This 479-nucleotide ribosomal RNA is filed under the name uncultured bacterium. RNAcentral describes it as "partial 16S ribosomal RNA". It matches the Rfam family "Bacterial small subunit ribosomal RNA", at positions 28 to 507 of the family's 1533-position model. The record is from RNAcentral.
GAUGAACGCUAGCGGGAGGCCUAACACAUGCAAGCCGAGCGGUAUUGUUUCUUCGGAAAUGAGAGAGCGGCGUACGGGUGCGUAACACGUGUGCAACCUGCCUUUAUCUGGGGGAUAGCCUUUCGAAAGGAAGAUCAAUACUCCUUAAUAUAUUUAACGGCAUCGUUUAAUAUUGAAAGCUCCGGCGGAUAGAGAUGGGCACGCGCAAGAUUAGCUCGUUGGUAAGGUAACUGCUCACCAAGGCGAUGUUCUUUAGGGGGCCUGAGAGGGUGAUCCCCCACACUGGUACUGAGACACGGACCAGACUGCUACGGAGGGCAGCAGUGAGGAAUAUUGGUGGAUGGGGGCAAGCCUGAACCAGCCGACCCGUGUGAAGGACGACUGCCCUAUGAGUUGUAAACUUCUUGUGUAUAGGGAAAAACCUACCCUCGAGAGGGUAGCUGAAGGUACUAAACGAAUAAGCACCGGCUAACUCCGUG